This 22-nucleotide unclassified non-coding RNA is filed under the name Mus musculus (house mouse). RNAcentral describes it as "oocyte_clustered_small_RNA8946". Lineage: Eukaryota; Metazoa; Chordata; Mammalia; Rodentia; Muridae. The record is from RNAcentral.
UGAUGCAGUCAGAUUGGGCAGG